AAUAUUGGUCAAUGGGCGGAAGCCUGAACCAGCCAUGCCGCGUGCAGGAUGACUGCCNNNUGGGUNGUAAACUGCUUUUGUCCNGGCNUAACCCCAGAUACGAGUAUCUGGCUGAAUGUACUGGAAGAAUAAGGAUCGGCGAACUCCGUGCCAGCAGCCGCGGUAAUACGGAGGAUCCGAGCGUUAUCCGGAUUUAUUGGGUUUAAAGGGUGCGUAGGCGGCCUGUUAAGUCAGGGGUGAAAUACGGUGGCUCAACCAUCGCAGUGCCUUUGAUACUGACGGGCUUGAAUCCAUUUGAAGUGGGCGGAAUAAGACAAGUAGCGGUGAAAUGCAUAGAUAUGUCUUAGAACUCCGAUUGCGAAGGCAGCUCACUAAGCUGGUAUUGACGCUGAUGCACGAAAGCGUGGGGAUCGAACAGG
Molecule: ribosomal RNA, 419 nt
Filed under: uncultured bacterium
Lineage: Bacteria
Description: partial 16S ribosomal RNA
Rfam family: Bacterial small subunit ribosomal RNA
Source: RNAcentral